This 433-nucleotide ribosomal RNA is filed under the name uncultured bacterium. Its description in RNAcentral is "partial 16S ribosomal RNA". It matches the Rfam family "Bacterial small subunit ribosomal RNA", at positions 29 to 507 of the family's 1533-position model. The record is from RNAcentral.
AACGAACGCUGGCGGCAUGCCUAACACAUGCAAGUCGAACGAGACCUUCGGGUCUAGUGGCGCACGGGUGCGUAACGCGUGGGAACCUUCCCUUAGGUUCGGAAUAACUCCCCGAAAGGGGUGCUAAUACCGGAUAAUGUCUUCGGACCAAAGAGUUAUCGCCUUUGGAUGGGCCCGCGUUGGAUUAGCUAGUUGGUAGGGUAAAAGCCUACCAAGGCGACGAUCCAUAGCUGGUCUGAGAGGAUGAUCAGCCACACUGGGACUGAGACACGGCCCAGACUCCUACGGGAGGCAGCAGUGGGGAAUAUUGGACAACGGGCGAAAGCCUGAUCCAGCAAUGCCGCGUGAGUGAUGAAGGCCUUAGGGUUGUAAAGCUCUUUUACCCGGGAUGAUAAUGACAGUACCGGGAGAAUAAGCUCCGGCUAACUCCGUG